AUACAGGUCUCGAAAAGAGUCUUGUAAUUGGAAUGAGUACAGUUUAAACACCUUAACGAGUAGCGAUUGGAGGGCAAGUCUGGUGCCAGCAGCCGCGGUAAUUCCAGCUCCAAUAGCGUAUAUUAAAGUUGUUGCAGUUAAAAAGCUCGUAGUUGGAUCUAGAGAUGUUAGGAGAGCAAGGUCCAGUGGAAGACCCACUUGAGCACCGGCUCACCCAUCUCCUCCUUCCAGCCUCCCACUUCUGCUAUUAGUUUAGUGGAUGUGUAAGGAGGUCUGCUUUUCGAAGCUCACCUCUGGGGAACUGGAUCAUUUACUUUGAAGAAAUUAGAGUGUUCAAAGCAGGCGAUAUUUUAACGCCAUCGAAUACUGCAGCAUGAGAUAAUAGAAUAGGACCAUCUCUCUGUUCUGUCGGUUCGCGAGAGGUGGUAAUGAUUAAUAGGGUCAGCCGGUGGUACUAGUAUUUAGUUGUCAGAGGUGAAAUUCUUGGAUUUUCGAAAGACUAACAUCAGCGAAAGCAUUUACCAAGAAUGUUUUCAUUAAUCAAGAACGAAAGUUGGGGGAUCGAAGAUGAUCAGAUACCGUCGUAGUCUCAACCAUAAACCAUGCCGACCAGCGAUCUGGAGACGUUAUAUGGACGACUCCCCAGGCAGCUUGUGAGAAAUCAUAAGUCUUUGGGUUCCGGGGGGAGUAUGGUCGCAAGGCUGAAACUUAAAGGAAUUGACGGAAGGGCACCACCAGGAGUGGAGCCUGCAGCUUAAUUUGACCCAACACGGGAAAACUUACCAGGUCCGGACACAGUGAGGAUUGACAGAUUGAGAGCUCUUUCUUGAUUCUAUGGGUGGUGGUGCAUGGCCGUUCUUAGUUGGUGGAGUGAUUUGUCUGGUUAAUUCCGUUAACGAACGAGACCUCAUCCGUUAAAUAGUUGUGUUAACCUUUCCAUUUAAACCAUUGGAGUUGUGGCGUGGUACCCACUUACCUUCGGGUAUAGUGUUGUGUACCCCCCUCUCUUUUGGCGGUCUGGUUGACAGAUAUACUUCUUAGAGGGACUACCAGUGUUAUAACUGGGGGAAGUGAGGCAAUAACAGGUCUGUGAUGCCCUUAGAUGUUCUGGGCUGCACGCGCGCUACACUGAUCAGUUCAACGAGUACUACACCUUGGCCGAAGGGUCUGGGUAAUCUUUUGAAAUCUGAUCGUGAUGGGGAUAGACCAUUGCAAUUGUUGGUCUUCAACGAGGAAUUCCUAGUAAACGCAAGUCAUCAGCUUGUGUUGAUUACGUCCCUGCCCUUUGUACACACCGCCCGUCGCUCCUACCGAUUGAAUGAUCCGGCGAGAUCCUCGGAGUUUGGUCUCUUAGCAUUUCGGUUCGCUGGAAUGCGAGACAUGAAUGAAGUUGAUCAAACCUUAUCAUUUAGAGGAAGGAGAAGUC
Molecule: ribosomal RNA, 1426 nt
Filed under: metagenome
Description: SSU rRNA
Rfam family: Eukaryotic small subunit ribosomal RNA
Source: RNAcentral